Molecule: long non-coding RNA, 2374 nt
Filed under: Marmota monax (woodchuck)
Lineage: Eukaryota; Metazoa; Chordata; Mammalia; Rodentia; Sciuridae
Source: RNAcentral
GAAUCUCUAAUAAAACAGUCUAUAAAACUUUUUUUUCCUUAUUGUUAUCAUAGUAUCUAAGCAGAGAAAUGUUCUUAGAAUUGUUUUUGGAAACGCUGCUUCCUGUAAUACUUUUGGCAGUUGAUCUUCAGCCCUCCUCUGGUACUAUUGGAAUUAUGAGCUUAGAUUGUUCUAGAUACAUCUUCAUCCUUUCCUAACACCCAAUUCUGGCAGGCAAAAAAUGCUUCCUCGUCUGUUUCUACCCCCUCACUUCACUGCGUUAACUCAGGUCAGGAUGCCCUCCUGGAGGACAUGAGCAGACUAAAUAACAAGGGGAGGGGAUGGUACAGAUAGCCCUCAGCUACAGAGGUCAUCUUGCUAGUAAAGCAGGACUGGGAAACACAGAAGUAGCCAAAGGGUUUCCAGCUGUUUUGUUUCACAGCUAAAAUGUCACAGAAUGGUCCAGGUUAUAUUUGCUUCAACUUUGCCUCACCACUGCCAAGCAUUCCCAAGUCUGGAGUGCAGUGUCGUGGAACUCAGGCAAAGGCCCAUGGCUGUCCUUUCCCUCCUGCGUGAAGGUUCUCUGAGACACUGCAGCAAGCAGGUCAGUGAGGUGCUGGGGGGAGUUUUCAUCAAUUGCUAUUAUUUUCAUGCCAUUCAGGCAAAACAGUGAACAAUUUAAAAGUAAAAGUCCAGAAUUGCAGGCCCAUGAAAACAAGAAACCCGAGGAUGAUGAGUCGGCCAGGCUUGGAGUACCUUUAAUUCGCUAAGAAUUAGGUGGAACACCAGGAAGGGUAAGUGAUAUGGAGGUCGCAUUUGCUUUGGAAAAGAUCCUGUUACAUUCAAAGAAGGAAUAAACCUGUUGGGACCAAAUCAUGAGAUGUAGUAGGUGCUGCUUCAGUUUCUCUGAUAUUCCAAAAAAAAAAAAAAAAAGAAAAAGAAAAAGAAAAAGAAAAAAAAGAAAGAAGGUAACAUGCAGUUUUAUGACUCUCAACUGUCGCACACCGAAAACUCUGUUGAGCCUGGGAGCUCAGGCUUGAUGCUCUUGAGACACUGCUGCCUACUUGGAAAAAGGAAAGGAACAGGAUGUUAAAUGGAAGUGCUGGGAAGUGGCAUUGGCUGAGUUACGUUGUUAGACUGUGAGCAUGGACAAAACAUGUAAAAACGAGCCCCAUCCUUAUGUACAAGGACAAUGCACCCAUCAAGAAUGUGGGGGAGGCAUCAGUCGGCACCAACGGGUCAGUCAGCAGCUGUUUAUGUUUCUCAGCCUCGCACUGUGACACCUUGGGCUGGGGGACUCUGGGUUGCUUGGGGACUGUCCUUCUUGAGGUGUUUUGCAGCAUCCCAGGGCUCCACGGACUAGAUGCCAGUAGCAACUUCCACCUCCAGUUGGGAGAAUAAAAAAUGUCUCUAGAAAUGGCCGAAGGUUUUCCCAGGGAGCACAACGCCCCAGAACGCCCCCUGGUUGAGAAACCGGAGGCUGGUGCAGCCAGGAUGCUGGAGAGUGGUAACGCGGAGGCCUGCCCUCCAGGAACUGAGGCCGAGAUGAAGGGAGGCCAGAAUGCAGAGGGGCUCAGACAACCCAGGAGAGUGCCCCACAGCAGAACGGCACAGGCGGGAGUUGAGAUGAACUCCUGGGGGCUCAGUGCUGUGGCUUACGGUUCUUUUUCCCUGUUUUUUGGCAAAUGUCUAUCAAGUGCUACCCUGGGACAGAGGCUGUCUUAGAUUUUGGUAACACAUCAGAGAGCUGGACCGAAUCCCUGCCCUCGUGGAGCGCAUAUCCUUUUGGGGAGCGCUAUGGCAGGAGAGGGUUUGCGUGUGUCCCCAAAGGUUUCUGUGUAGGAAGCUUGGUCCCCGGGAGAUGAGAGGUGGAGGUGCCUUUAAGAGGCGGGGUCUAGUGGAAGGUGAGUACCUCAUUGGCGUGCUGCCCUGGGAACAGGCCACUAGAGUUCUCGGGAGACUUUGGUUAGCUCCCGCGAGAGUGAGUUGUUAUAAAAGGGGCAACCUUGGCCCCAGAAGCUCUUUGGCUUCCUGUCCGCCUCUUGAGCCUGCUCCUGGGUUGUUCUGGCGGGAAGGCUCCCUUGGUCUCUCAGUGCCUCCUUGACUUCUGGCAUAACAAGUCAGCCCCAUUUUUACUGUCCACAUCUAGAAUUAGCCAUUUCCUUAAGGAUGGAUGCCAUUAUUAUUAUUAUUAUUAUUAUUAUUCUAUAAUAUACACAAACUGGGAGAUGCACUAAUUUUAGGUGUACAGCUCAAUGAAUUGUACCAUAUGUGUACACUAUGAUGUAACCACUAGCAAGUUCCCCAGGGACCCUGUGCAUGUAUUUCCUCCUCUCCCUCCCUGUAUGCAGAGGUAAUUAUAUGUACAUUUCAGAUCCUUAUUGUCCUACUCAAC